GUCGUGAGAUGUUGGGUUAAGUCCCGCAACGAGCGCAACCCUCAUCUUCAGUUGCCAUCAGGUUAAGCUGGGCACUCUGGAGAAACUGCCGGUGACAAGCCGGAGGAAGGCGGGGAUGACGUCAAGUCCUCAUGGCCCUUACGGGCUGGGCUACACACGUGCUACAAUGGCGGUGACAGCGGGCGGCGAAGGUGCGAGCCUGAGCCAAUCCCGAAAAGCCGUCUCAGUUCGGAUUGCACUCUGCAACUCGAGUGCAUGAAGUUGGAAUCGCUAGUAAUCGCGGAUCAGCAUGCCGCGGUGAAUACGUUCCCGGGCCUUGUACACACCGCCCGUCACGCCAUGGGAGUUGGUUUUACCCGAAGGCGGUUUUGCUGACCCAGCAAUGGGGGGCAGCCGACCACGGUAAGGUCAGCGACUGGGGCGAAGUCGUAACAAGGUAGCCGUAGGGGAACCUGCGGCUGGAUCACCUCCUUUCUGGGUCUGGAGGAAGAGCCGGCACCCGCCAGGGUGCAGGCAGACUUUCUCCGGGUACCAUCACACUAUGCCGAAGGUGGCCUGAGGCCGCCGUCCCCGCAUCCCUUCUCCCACGGAAAAUGAGCGACGAGAUCGGGCUAGUAGCUCAGUUGGUUAGAGCGCGCGCUUGAUAAGCGUGAGGUCGGAAGUUCAAGUCUUCCCUGGCCCACCAGGUGUCGGAGGACGCAGAACAGAGGACAGACGACGGACCCAUGUGGAUCAGGCGAAGACGCGGGAAGCGGCAAUGAGUUCCGUCCUCUGUCGUCCGUCUGCUGUCGUCUGAUCCCGGGGCCGUAGCUCAGCUGGGAGAGCGCCUGCUUUGCAAGCAGGAGGUCACCGGUUCGAUCCCGGUCGGCUCCACCAGAGCCGACCAGAACUUCUUCAAGAAGGCGGCUCCACCAGGAGCAGGCAUCGGGGAUCGGGCAUCAGGUAUCAGGGCUUCCGUGGGAUGAAGAUAGAAAUUGGACGCGAUUGGGCCGGGGUCUUCUGAUCCCUGAUGCCUGAUCCCGGUCCUCUGGUUUUGUUGUUUUACAUUGUGGAUAGGAAUGCGACUGGCCGUUGGCGGUGGUUGGCUUGUGUUGUGCGCUCGAUCGGGAGAUGGGGCGCUGGACGAGGAACCGGAUUGUCAUCGGCCAGGCGGGUAAAACUAAGAUGAAGUGCUGAGUGUUAAGUCGAGGCUUUUGGGUCGUGGAUGGAGGCUUUGCUCUCUGUGUGCGAUGGAAGGGCUUCGGAUCAAGCGUUUAAGGGCAUUUGGUGGAUGCCUUGGCACUGAGAGGCGAUGAAGGACGUGGCACGCUGCGAAAAGCCGCGGGGAGGGGCGAGCACCCUUUGAUCCGCGGAUCU
Molecule: small RNA, 1356 nt
Filed under: uncultured Rhodospirillales bacterium
Lineage: Bacteria; Pseudomonadati; Pseudomonadota; Alphaproteobacteria; Rhodospirillales
Description: bacterial SSU rRNA
Rfam family: Bacterial small subunit ribosomal RNA (bases 1-474)
Source: RNAcentral